UACGUAGGGACCAAGCGUUGUUCGGAUUUACUGGGCGUAAAGGGCGCGUAGGCGGCGAGACAAGUCACUUGUGAAAUCUCUGAGCUUAACUCAGAACGGCCAAGUGAAACUGUCGUGCUAGAGUGCAGAAGGGGCAAUCGGAAUUCUUGGUGUAGCGGUGAAAUGCGUAGAUAUCAAGAGGAACACCUGAGGUGAAGACGGGUUGCUGGGCUGACACUGACGCUGAGGCGCGAAAGCCAGGGGAGCAAACGGG
RNAcentral lists this ribosomal RNA (253 nucleotides) under uncultured bacterium. Its description in RNAcentral is "partial 16S ribosomal RNA". It matches the Rfam family "Bacterial small subunit ribosomal RNA", at positions 524 to 776 of the family's 1533-position model. The record is from RNAcentral.